RNAcentral lists this ribosomal RNA (380 nucleotides) under uncultured eukaryote. RNAcentral's name for it is "partial 18S ribosomal RNA". It matches the Rfam family "Eukaryotic small subunit ribosomal RNA", at positions 592 to 976 of the family's 1831-position model. The record is from RNAcentral.
CAAUAGCGUAUAUUAAAGUUGUUGCGGUUAAAAAGCUCGUAGUUGGAUUUCUGCUGAGAACGACCGGUCCGCCCUUUGGGUGUGUAUCUGGCUCUUUCUUGGCAUCUUCUUGGUGAACGUUGCUGCACUUGACUGUGUGGAGCGCUACCCAGGACUUUUACUUUGAGGAAAUUAGAGUGUUUCAAGCAGGCAUACGCCUUGAAUACAUUAGCAUGGAAUAAUAAGAUAGGACCUCGGUUCUAUUUUGUUGGUUUCUAGAGCUGAGGUAAUGAUUAAGAGGGACAGUCGGGGGCAUUCGUAUUCCGUUGUCAGAGGUGAAAUUCUUGGAUUUACGGAAGACGAACAUCUGCGAAAGCAUUUGCCAAGGAUGUUUUCAUUGA